GACGAACGCUGGCGGCGUGCCUAAUACAUGCAAGUUGAGCGCUGAAGGUUGGUACUUGUACCGACUGGAUGAGCAGCGAACGGGUGAGUAACGCGUGGGGAAUCUGCCUUUGAGCGGGGGACAACAUUUGGAAACGAAUGCUAAUACCGCAUAAAAACUUUAAACACAAGUUUUAAGUUUGAAAGAUGCAAUUGCAUCACUCAAAGAUGAACCCGCGUUGUAUUAGCUAGUUGGUGAGGUAAAGGCUCACCAAGGCGAUGAUACAUAGCCGACCUGAGAGGGUGAUCGGCCACAUUGGGACUGAGACACGGCCCAAACUCCUACGGGAGGCAGCAGUAGGGAAUCUUCGGCAAUGGACGAAAGUCUGACCGAGCAACGCCGCGUGAGUGAAGAAGGUUUUCGGAUCGUAAAACUCUGUUGGUAGAGAAGAACGUUGGUGAGAGUGGAAAGCUCAUCAAGUGACGGUAACUACCCAGAAAGGGACGGCUAACUACGUG
This 497-nucleotide ribosomal RNA is filed under the name uncultured bacterium. RNAcentral describes it as "partial 16S ribosomal RNA". It matches the Rfam family "Bacterial small subunit ribosomal RNA", at positions 28 to 507 of the family's 1533-position model. The record is from RNAcentral.